This 359-nucleotide ribosomal RNA is filed under the name uncultured bacterium. RNAcentral's name for it is "partial 16S ribosomal RNA". It matches the Rfam family "Bacterial small subunit ribosomal RNA", at positions 355 to 706 of the family's 1533-position model. The record is from RNAcentral.
UGGGGAAUAUUGGACAAUGGGCGAAAGCCUGAUCCAGCCAUGCCGCGUGUGUGAAGAAGGUCUUCGGAUUGUAAAGCACUUUAAGUUGGGAGGAAGGGCAUUAACCUAAUACGUUAGUGUUUUGACGUUACCGACAGAAUAAGCACCGGCUAACUCUGUGCCAGCAGCCGCGGUAAUACAGAGGGUGCAAGCGUUAAUCGGAAUUACUGGGCGUAAAGCGCGCGUAGGUGGUUUUUUAAGUUGGAUGUGAAAUCCCCGGGCUCAACCUGGGAACUGCAUUCAAAACUGACUGACUAGAGUAUGGUAGAGGGUGGUGGAAUUUCCUGUGUAGCGGUGAAAUGCGUAGAUAUAGGAAGGAA